This is a long non-coding RNA of Brassica napus (rape), 3243 nucleotides long. RefSeq lists it as uncharacterized. The transcript has 2 exons. The record is from RefSeq and is a predicted model, not a curated record. Lineage: Eukaryota; Viridiplantae; Streptophyta; Magnoliopsida; Brassicales; Brassicaceae.
CAUCUUGUGUCGGUCGACACUUAUAGAUGGAUGUGAUGCAUGUAUGUACGAUCACUUCAAAAAUGAUUGAGGAGAAGGUUUACAAGCCUAAAGUUUUGCACCAUGUUGUGUUACUAAACACUUGAAACCGCAUAUCAGUGCAAAAGAGUUGGAUGUGUUUUACAGUAGAGUGAAAAGGAUUCUAGAAAGUGUCUCUUUUGAAGAUGCUUAUGAUGCAUUUCGAUUCAAUUAGUUCUUCAAGAACAACGAAGAGACCAUAGAAAGAAUCAAGACAGCAUAUGAUGAAGCUAUAAGUGCAGCCAGAGGGGUUAAAAGCUUACAGAUAAUGUGACCUUUAUGGUUCUAUGCACUAUUGCAGGAGUUGAGUUUCCUGAUGCAUUUCGUGAUAUAUGAUCUACAGUGAACAUCUUGUCUAUGGACAUCCCUAAUAAACUAGGUCUUGCUACAUAAGAUUCUAAGAUCACUCAAACUUUUGCAGAUUUUUUCUUCAAAACCUCUUCAAGGUAUAAUGAAUAACAUGAUGCAUUGCUCCUAUUGAUUUUCAGGUGAUGGAGAUGAGUAGUAGAUCAAGUACACCUUUGAUGUUUGGAAGAGUUUUUCAGGCUACAGCUGGAUGAGUAAUUGACAUGCAAAAGGGCAUGAUUUCAUUUGCCAACAUUGAUGAGAAUGUUUGCUACAAAGUUGUGCCUCAAGACAGAGCCAUGCGUAUGAUUUCUUGCACUGAUGUGACUGAUAUUCCAUUGUUUUUGGCUGUUUCUCAAGAUGAUAUAGGUGAUAAUCGUGAUGCUGAGAAAAUUUUGGAUGGAGACAUCAACAUACAAUCACAUAAGUACCGGGAAAGAGAAAGAAAAAUAAGGUGAAAAACAAAAGGAUUUAAGAGUGCUCUUCACUUGAUACUAGUUUCUCAUAGUCUUUUCAGCUGGUGUCAUUGAAUACAAAGUACAGAUGAAGGGCUUUUCAGCCAUUCAUGAAAGUUGGAUUAAUUUUUAUUUAUGAGCUGGAGGACAAAUAAAAGAAUUCACUGAAAUAGUUUAUGACCAGUAUGAUCAAGUUGAAGAUAUUGGACACCGGAACUUGUUUAUAGCAAGUUCUCAAUCUCAUUUGGACUAAAUCUAGUCUCCAAAAUCGAACUGGUAACUAUCAACAAUUGUUUAGUGGGAAGUAACCCACUAGUAAUUUUUUUAUUAUAUUCAAAAGACAUCCAUAUUCUAAAACUUUUAAAUAUGAAAAGUUAAAACCAUUUUAGAAUUUAUAGCUUCAGCACGAUAAUGAAGAUUCUUCGACGAAACCCAAAACCAGAAACUGGCUCACCAACAAACCACAUGAAUCUAAAUAUAAAAGAAAAAGAAUAGAAAUAAAAAAUAGCUCAAUAUAAGAAAAACUGGUAGAUCGAAGUUGGUGAAAAGAAAAAAAAAGGAAAGAAAAUAUUUUCCUAUUUUAUUAUCCUUUCUGAAUUAUAUUAUUUACAAUUAGGAUAUUGAAUAAAAUAUUCAACUAUUGAAUCUACAUUAAGGAUGUUGAAAAAUGAAAUAUGAUGAUGUCGAUUAUUUAUGUUGAAUAGAUUUAACAUGUUGAAUAAAUUCAACCUAUUAAAUAAAAAGAAAAUAAAAAUCACCAACUAUACAUGUCACUUUUUAUAAUUCUUUAUUUAAGCGCUAAGAUUGAUAAAAUAUUUCUUGUAUCAGUUGAGUUCAAAAAUGACCAUGAUGGUAAAUUUCUAAUGUUGGGUAGAUAAUUAAAAGAAAAAUGGCAAACAACUUUAUAAAAAAAUAGUUACCGUUAAGGAAAAAAAAUAAGAAUUGAUUACAAGAAAAUGGGGAUUGAGAAAAAGUAAGGUGUCGUGUUAAGUGUCCAAAUUUGUUUAACUAGUCUUAGCAGUGUGAUUCUAAUUCCUAAUACGUACCAUUUUUUUGUUUAACUCAUAACACUAUUAGUUAAAAAAUGUUUUUCUUUUACAUUUUUUUACUUCUUUGUUCGUAUUUAUUGGCAGCCGCAAAGGUCUACUUAAUUAACUGGUGACUUUAUUAAAUAAUUUUUCAUUUAACUUUUUUAUCUUCUAUUUAGCCUUUUACAAAAAUAAUUAAAAAUAGUUUUAAUUUUUAAUAAACUAAUGAUAUUUCAAUUUAUUUCAGUUUUAAGUAAAAGUAAUUAUAAAAUUGAAUAUAUAUCCGGUGAAUCAAAAAAAAUACAGAGGGAGAGAAAAAAAAAUGAAGAGAUCUUGUCGUCUUCACCUUCUUCGGUCGACCGCGUCAUGUCGUUCGUAUUGUGAGAAGGUGGUCAUGUUAUUUAGUUGUCUUAGCUUCUUUUCUUCUUCUAGACGGUACUUUAGAUAUCUCAGAUCUCAGAUCUAAAGCGAAAGUAUCAAAUCAUACUCUGCCAACUCUGAUCUUAACAGAUCUGGUGGUCAGUGGUGGUUAUAGUCUUUGUUUAUCGGUUGUAUUAAUAAGGUUGUGUGCGAAAGCUCUUCUAGGCUUUGUCGUGGUGUGGUGGCGUGUAGGAGGCGCAUGGAGAGCCCGUUUAAGGUCUGAUGGCGAGUUUAGUUGGAGUUGGAGGGUGUUUAGUUUCGUUUACUAACGCGACGUUUGGUUUCUUUCAUUAUCUCUUUGAUUAGCAUCUAGGGUUGUUAGUCUUUGGUAUUGUGUAGUUUUUUGUGUUUGUCUUAAGCUCCAAUAUUUUUAUUUUGAGUUUUGUAGAUUUAUUAUGGUUUGUUUUGUGAAUCUUGGUGUCGAUUCAAAAUUAUCUCAGGUUGAUUUGGAGUCUUACUUAUGGUCAUUUAGUUUAUGGAGUGUUUCCUUAGCAACCGCCGGCUUGUGACUUCGGGUCAAAGAAAAAAGAAGUGAUGAUGUCGAUGGUGAAAGACAUGUGAACUUAAAAACUCAAGACUGUAGUUGGUAAGAAAAUCAAGAGUACUCAACGAUGGAGGAUGGAUGGUGGUGUUUACAGCAACGACAAUGGACGAAAGGUGCGGUGGUGGUGGUGGUUACAACGACGGUGUGGAAACUAUGGUAGUAGUGGUCAUAGAGAAUGAAGCAGUCAUGGAUACAUAAAAAAUUGUGAUCUUUCAUGACAGAUUACUGUGGAUGUGGUGGUGCUUGUGUUGAUCACCGACAUAACUAAUGUGGGUUGAAGAAAGAGAUAUUAUAAAUAGAAUAUAGUAAUAAACAAAAUAGCAUAGUACAUAUUGUUCAAAUUUUGAAACGUCUAUCAUUAUAAAGAAUGAGGUAAUGCUUAUUCCAACGUCAA